RNAcentral lists this ribosomal RNA (1247 nucleotides) under Urolabida sp. FS-2019. RNAcentral's name for it is "16S ribosomal RNA". The stretch from base 828 to 1197 matches the Rfam family "Archaeal large subunit ribosomal RNA", at positions 2150 to 2716 of the family's 2987-position model. Lineage: Eukaryota; Metazoa; Arthropoda; Insecta; Hemiptera; Urostylididae. The record is from RNAcentral.
AAAGAUUAAAUUAAUAUUUUAUCUUAAUAUAAUCAAUUUUUAUAAAAAUAAUUUUUAUUUUAGUAAUUUUUAAUGAAUUUCUUUUUUAUAUUUAUAGAGAAUAAGUACUGUUAAGGAAUUUUAUUAUUUAAUUGAAAGUAAAUUUAUUUAUUGUACCUUUUGCAUCAGGGUUUAUUUAAUAUUAAUAAUUAUUUUAUAUUUCCCGAAAUUAUAAGAGAUAUUUUUUAGUUAUAUUAAAUGUGGUAAAAUUUUUAAUAACUGGGAGAUAGGAGUUAUAUGCUAUCCAUUUAUAAAUAUCUGGUUUUUUAAGAAAUGAAUUUAAUUCAUCUAUAAUUUAUUAUUAUACAAUUCUAUUUUUAUUAAUUUUUAUAGAAAAUUUUUAGGGGACAAGCUCUUAUAGUAAUUUAUAAGUUACCUCGGUAUUAUGUAAUGGGAUAAGAUUAAUAAUUUCUUAUUCUUAUACUUUGUUAUAAUUAAAUUACCUUAAUUAUUUUUAUUUAUGUAACUUUAAUUUAAUAUUAAAAAAAUAUAAUUAAUAUAACAUUAUAUGAUAUAAUGAUAAAAUUAGUAAAUAUAAUAUUAUAUUAAUAUAAACUAGGCAAUUCUUAUAUUCACCUGUUUAACAAAAACAUGUCCUAUUGAAUUAAUAUAUAUUAGGUCAGGCCUGCUCAGUGAUUAUUUUAACAGCUGCAGUAUUUUGACUGUGCAAAGGUAGCAUAAUCAUUUGUCUUUUAAUUGAAGGCUGGAAUGAAUGGUUUGAUGAAAUAUAAACUUUAUUCUUAUAUUUGAAUUGAAUUUAAUUUUUGUGUUAAAAAGCAUAAAUGUAAUUGAAGGACGAGAAGACCCUAUAGAACUUUAAUAAUUGAUUAUAAAAUAUUUGUAUUUGAUAUUAAUUAAACUUUUAUUUUUUAUAUUAUUUUUGUUGGGGUGACAGGAAAAUUUUAAAAACUUUUCUUUAUUUUAAAUUAUUAAUUAGUAUAAUUUUGAUCCUAAUUAUAGAUUACAAGAUUAAGUUACCUUAGGGAUAACAGCGUUAUUUUAUCGGAGAGUUCUUAUCGAUGAUAGAGUUUGCGACCUCGAUGUUGGAUUAAAAUUAGAAAUUGGUGUAGCAGUUAAUUUUCUAGGUCUGUUCGACCUUUAAAUUUUUACAUGAUCUGAGUUCAGACCGGCGUAAGCCAGGUUGGUUUCUAUCCUCAAUUUAUUUAAUUAUUUUAGUACGAAAGGACCAAAUAGUUUAAAUAAUUUAU